Molecule: ribosomal RNA, 253 nt
Filed under: uncultured bacterium
Lineage: Bacteria
Description: partial 16S ribosomal RNA
Rfam family: Bacterial small subunit ribosomal RNA
Source: RNAcentral
CACGUAAGGGGCGAGCGUUGUUCGGAAUUAUUGGGCGUAAAGAGCUCGUAGGCGGUCCGUCGCGUCGGAUGUGAAAUUCCAGGGCUCAACCCUGGACCUGCAUUCGAUACGGGCGGACUAGAGUUCGGUAGGGGAGACUGGAAUUCCUGGUGUAGCGGUGAAAUGCGCAGAUAUCAGGAGGAACACCGGUGGCGAAGGCGGGUCUCUGGGCCGAUACUGACGCUGAGGAGCGAAAGCGUGGGGAGCGAACAGG